GCUUGGAUAGCAGCUAAUGUGGCUGCAAUAGGAUCCAAGGGAGUUUCGGUGUGGUUCUCCAUCUGCGGAUGCAAAGAGAAGUGACAAAAACAACAAGUAUCAACGAACGGGUAAUAAAAGAAAUCGAACGAGAGCAAACUAAAAAUCGACAAUUUCUUUUUUUUUUUUUGAACUUAAGUAACGAUUAACUCAAGCAACUGCAAGAUUACUACUAAAUAUAUAUAUUUUUUUAAAGUUAUGCAAAACAAACUAGCAACCUAUAACGAACACAAGUGCAACAAAGAGAUACUAGAAAUUUUUUUUUUUUUUGACUUAAGAUGAACGAAACAAAAGCUAAAACGAAAGUAAAGGAGGGAUACAACCUAAGGUGUAGAACCUUUCGGCUCUGAUACCAGAUGAUAUACGCUCCAAGGGCCACACGUACGCACGAAUUAG
Molecule: long non-coding RNA, 435 nt
Filed under: Capsella rubella
Lineage: Eukaryota; Viridiplantae; Streptophyta; Magnoliopsida; Brassicales; Brassicaceae
Description: long non-coding RNA (CRUB_LNC000231)
Source: RNAcentral